CUCAUACCAGCUCAAUUUUAAUUUUAAAGUGACAAAUGUACAGGUGGAAUAAAAUUUUAAGCGACACCCUCCAAAUUCCUUUUAUAUGACAAGAAGGAGCUGAAUGUAAUUUUACACCAUUACCAACUAAACAGUAGUUCUUUAGCAAUAAUUAGGAAGUCACAGCACAAAAACGACACCCCAGAGUUGUGGUCCAUUUAUAAAUAGAUUUUCACCUAGGCUUCGUUGGAAGAAGUGAUUUUAUAUCUAUCCUCACCAAUGGUCAAAGUGGGCACAGAACAGUAGGAACUAAGUUGGCCCUGUUAAGCAGGCACAUGCAGCCAUGUCCGAUCCACGGAUGUGCUUUUAUUCUUUAAGAGGAUCAUCUAGAAUCCUCAGAAAUGUUAUCUUAGCAGCCCUGAGAUCAUGCCCUCAAUAACUCUGCCAAGGGAAGAGGGGAGAAACCACAGACCUAGAGAUGAGUCAGGAUGCCCACUUUGUGCCUUGGGGUUUGCUAGGGGGGCUAAGCUGCUAACUGGGCUGUGCCUUAUUGGUGACACUGAAUUAUGGCAAAGCCACUAGAAGCACAAAGUAUUGGUGCAAUCACUGACAUCUCAAAAGUAUAUCCUGAAAAUAGAAAUGAACAGAUUCCAUAUGCAGACUAGAGGUGAUUUAUACUUAAAACAUUUAAAUAUAAAUUAAGCUAUAACUUAAGUUACAACCAAAAGAAAAGCCAAAAAGACACUCAGCAAUUAAGAAUGCUGAACACAUACACAGGACAUCCCAAACACAAGGCCAUUAAAGCGAUGUCAUUUUCAUUGUGCCAACUUUACAUUCAUCAUGUGCUAGUCCGGUGGGGCCACGCUGCCCCGCACCACGUCAUGCCGUCUGGCACUGCACUCCAGCCUGGGGCCCGUCUUCGUCCUCCUCGUAGGCCUCCCUGUGCUGACGCCAGUUCUGCUCAUUGGGACAAAACUCCUUCAGCUCCACCUGAUCCAUGUCAUCUGUAAUCCUCACUUUCUGUCGAGGAGGGAGUAAAGCUUCCAGCUGAGGAAGCUUUUCCAGAGAAAGCCAGUGUUUUUCAGGAAAGAUUACCUGUAAAGGGUGAGGUGGGAAAGAAAGGUGGCUGUUUUUUCCCCUUCCAAUUAAGGCAUUUAAUAAUAUGUCCAUGACAAUGAAACAUAGUGAACUUACUAAAAACUGUAUGAUCAGAAUCCCUUUUUCCAGGGGUGCUUUGUAGAUGGGCAUUCCUUCAUCGCGCACGCAUCUCAGGUCCCCGUGCUUUAUCACCUCACCUGCCAGAGAAAGGGUCAAUUAGGAAGGAGGAAGGCAGAGGGGCCUGCAGAGGUCGUUCUCCCUCAUGGGAGAGCCUGCGGCAGGCCCUAGUGCCCCGUGGCAGUGGGCAAAGGAAACGUGGCAUCUGACUGGAAAGCUGGCCCCAAUCCCAGGUAUCCUUGUCAGGUACUGCCUGGGGAAGGGGCUCAGGCUGAGACUCUGGCCUGUGCUCUGGGCUCCAGCAGUGUGUCAAGAGGGCAGCAUGGUGCAGCUGCCAUCACAGGUAGGUUUAAAACAAGUGAACUAGAAGUCAUGACACCCAAGUCUGCCUAAAAUGGGGCCAACACCUGUCACCCUGCCUCUUUGUGGGGUGACAGGUAUCCCUACCACGAGGGGGACAGGAGUGCUCCCCACAGACAGGAAGAAGCCUCAAUAGAGUCCAACCAGUCCCCUGCCUGGCAUAAAAACUGGCUCUUGGCCACCUGCAGGUGACACCCAGGUUCCUUGGUAGGGAGCUCACUAGGUGGCUUGGCCACUGGCAGACUCCUUCAUGGUCACAAUGCACUUCCAUACAUGCUGCUGAGCUGGAGUCACCCUCCCGGCUGGCACCCGCUGGGUCUUACAGCUACGUGACUUUGGAAGGCAUCAGAGGAGUUCAGACCCCAAGAACUCUAAGGCGUUCUCCCAAGUCAGAAACUUCCCUCUAAGCAUGGAAAAGGAAAGGGACAAAAGGGUUUCUGAUAAAGCAUGCUCUUCAGCUCAGCGAUGAAAAUGGACAAAGACAGAAAGAAAUGUUCGGAAAAAAUGGGGGAGACGGUGGAGGGGAAUGGAAACACUAAUUUCUUCAGCAGUCCACUUCCAUACGGGACUAUGUAGAAAGUGAGCUGUCUCUUCAAGAGGAAAUCUUUAAAGAGGAGGUUUUAAAAAUAAAGUAAGCCAAUGACUAUCCUUGAGAUUCAUUCGCAGGCAGGGCUGUGGUUCAGACAUGGCCUUCAGAGCCUACUGACUGUGCAGGACAGCAACCCCUUAGCUAAACUGCUCCAGGCUGCUGGCUUUUUGUGUUCCUGUUUAUUCUUUUUUUUUGAAAUACAGUCAUGGCCAGGCACGGUGGCUCACGCCUGUAAUCCCAGCACUUUGGGAGGCCGAGGCGGGCGGAUCACGAGGUCAGGAGUUCGAGACCAGGUUGAUCAACAUAGUGAAACCCCGUCUCUACUAAAAAAAAAAAAAAAAAAAAAAAAUAGAAAAACUAGCCAGGAAUGGUGGUGUGUGCCUGUAAUCCCAGCUACUUGGGAGGCUGAGGCAGGAGAAUGGCGUGAACCCGGGAAGCAGAGUGUACAGUGAGCCAAGAUCACGCCAUUGCACUCCAGCCUGGGCGACAGAGCGAGACUCCGUCUCAAAAAAAAAAGAAAUACAGUCAUGCACAGCAUAGUGACCUUUCAGUCAACAACAUUUAUGAAGAUGGUUGCAAAGAUUACACCAAACUUUUACUGCACCUUUCCUAUGUUCAGAUACUCACAUACUCAGCAUCGUACUACAACUGCCCACAGUAUUCAGUACAGCAACCUGCUGUGCAGGUUUUAGCCCAGGAGCAACAGGCUAUGCCACACAGCCUAGGGUGUAGCAGGCUAUGCUAUCUAGGUCUGUGUGAGUACAUUCUAUGGUGUUCACACCACAACGACAUCGCCAAACAAUGCAUCUCUCAGAACAUAUCCCCUUCGUUAAGUUACAUAUGACUGGUUUUUCUGUCUCCCCAUUCCUAUCAGGUGUCGCUUCUUGCUGCUCUCAAGCCCUACUCCCCAUGCUUCUGCUUCUAGCUUGCUGGGAGCUGGGAAACUGACCAAGCAUGGAAAACUACAGGUAAGAGAAGAAGACCACGAGUUAGGCUCUCCCGGCAGGUAAAUACCUGCCUGCAGGCAGGGCCAUCACACCCUUGUGUGGCUCCAAAAUCACUUUUUUAAUUAAUCCAAUCCUCAGCAAUGCUCAUAACAGGCUAAAAGGCUCUGGGGAAGAAGGCAUUUCAACAGCAGAAAAGAGGAAGAAGAGGGAGAAGAGAAAAUGGAGAAACAAGAAAUAAGCCAACACAAAAGAGGGGUGAAGAAAAGAGAGGGUGCAAAAGAGAACAAAGUAAAAACAAAAACAAAACAAAAAGGACAAACAAAUCCCCAAAGAACUCUCCAACGGCAGGUUUCCUGGAUGCUCCACCCUUCCUUAUAAUAAAGAAGGAAAUGGA
This 3484-nucleotide long non-coding RNA is filed under the name Homo sapiens (human). RNAcentral describes it as "HSALNT0382449". The record is from RNAcentral. Lineage: Eukaryota; Metazoa; Chordata; Mammalia; Primates; Hominidae.